RNAcentral lists this ribosomal RNA (253 nucleotides) under uncultured bacterium. RNAcentral's name for it is "partial 16S ribosomal RNA". It matches the Rfam family "Bacterial small subunit ribosomal RNA", at positions 524 to 776 of the family's 1533-position model. The record is from RNAcentral.
UACGUAGGGUGCAAGCGUUGUCCGGAAUCAUUGGGCGUAAAGAGCUCGUAGGCGGUCUGUCGCGUCGGCUGUGAAAUCCCGGGGCUCAACCCCGGGCCUGCAGUCGAUACGGGCAGACUAGAGUUCGGUAGGGGAGACUGGAAUUCCUGGUGUAGCGGUGAAAUGCGCAGAUAUCAGGAGGAACACCGGUGGCGAAGGCGGGUCUCUGGGCCGAUACUGACGCUGAGGAGCGAAAGCGUGGGGAGCGAACAGG